GAAAACAGGGAAUGAAGUUCUCCCUUGGUAACAAUACCAGAACCGCUUAUAAGCUGAUGACUUCUGCAAUU
This 71-nucleotide non-coding RNA is filed under the name pig gut metagenome. RNAcentral describes it as "Fluoride riboswitch". It matches the Rfam family "Fluoride riboswitch aptamer (crcB RNA motif)". The record is from RNAcentral.